This 600-nucleotide small RNA is filed under the name Pongo abelii (Sumatran orangutan). RNAcentral's name for it is "retained intron". Lineage: Eukaryota; Metazoa; Chordata; Mammalia; Primates; Hominidae. The record is from RNAcentral.
GGGCCAGCUACCACUCUAUGAGCUCGAUGGCACGAGCAGCGUUCUCUGAGGAUGGGGCCCUGAUGGAUGGUGGCAUGGACCUCAACAUGGAGCAGGGCAUGGCAGAGUGAGUGUCCCCCACCGCCAGCCCAGGUGAGCGGCCCCAGGGCUGGGGCCCAGAUAGCCCAAGAAGCACAGCUACUUUCAACUUGAAAAGGGUGGAAGGGAGUUGAACUGGGGCCCAUAUGCUGUCUUUCCAGCUUUAUUUCUAUCCACAGGCACCUUAAGGAUGUGAUCCUACUGACAGCCAUCGUGCAGGCUCCAGGCCGGGCCCUUUACCUCCUGUGGGUGAAUGUGCUGGGCCCCUGGUUCACUGCAGACAGUGGCACCCCAGCACCAGAGCACAAUGAGAAACGGCAGCGCCGACAGGAGCGGCGGCAGAUGAAGCGGCUAUAGCCAUUGACAUUGUAGCCACAGGCCGCUGGCCCUGGGUGGCUCUGUCAGGGUGCACAGCCCCCCAUGCCUGGAGCAAUGAGGGUCUAGUCCAGGGGCCAAAAGCAGUCUGAGGUAUUGGGUAUACUUAUACUCUACAGGGUUGUUGAAUAAAUGGCUUAGAAUGUG